AGUGAACGCUGGCGGUAGGCCUAGCACAUGCAAGUCGAACGGCAGCACAGGAGAGCUUGCUCUCUGGGUGGCGAGUGGCGGACGGGUGAGGAAUACAUCGGAAUCUACUCUGUCGUGGGGGAUAACGUAGGGAAACUUACGCUAAUACCGCAUACGACCUACGGGUGAAAGCAGGGGACCUUCGGGCCUUGCGCGAUUGAAUGAGCCGAUGUCGGAUUAGCUAGUUGGCGGGGUAAAGGCCCACCAAGGCGACGAUCCGUAGCUGGACUGAGAGGAUGAUAAGGCACACUGGACAUGAAGCACGGUCCAGACUCCUACGGGAGGCGGCAGUGGGGAAUAUUGGACAAUGGGCGCAAGCCUGAUCCAGCCAUACCGCGUGGGUGAAGAAGGCCUUCGGGUUGUAAAGCCCUUUUGUUGUGAAAGAAAUCCAGCUGGCUAAUACCCGGUUGGGAUGACGGUACCCAAAGAGUAAGCACCGGCUAACUUCGUGCCAGCCGCCGCCGUAA
Molecule: ribosomal RNA, 506 nt
Filed under: uncultured bacterium
Lineage: Bacteria
Description: partial 16S ribosomal RNA
Rfam family: Bacterial small subunit ribosomal RNA
Source: RNAcentral